AUGGUGCAGAGGUACCCACAGAACAAGAACAAAGGGAAGAACAAACCUGUUUUCAACAAGCCUACCAAGACUACUACCUUCAAGAAGAAGAAGUUCAACAAGGCUGAGCUAGAGUGCUACGCCUGUGGGAAGCCUGGACACUUUUCCAAGGAAUGCCCUGAACGUGCAGACCGCAGAGGGAAAACAAGCUCCAAGACUGUCAACAUGGUGACCGCUAGCAAUACUGAUGGGUAUGGUCGCAAGGGAUUCUUCCGUCCUAAUGGGGAAUGGGUCACAUGCUUCUGUUCGUGGCAUUGGCACGGUGGAUCUGAAGUUUACUUCGGGAAAGAUCGUGCAACUAAGGAACGUAUGAAGCAUUAG
This 360-nucleotide ribosomal RNA is filed under the name Triticum aestivum (bread wheat). Its description in RNAcentral is "partial small subunit ribosomal RNA". The record is from RNAcentral. Lineage: Eukaryota; Viridiplantae; Streptophyta; Magnoliopsida; Poales; Poaceae.